AGCAUGUCUGAUAAUAGAGUUACUUUGAUAGAGUAAAUUAUAGAGGUUAAAACCCUCUUGCUUUUA
RNAcentral lists this transfer RNA (66 nucleotides) under Potamogale velox. RNAcentral's name for it is "tRNA-Ile". Lineage: Eukaryota; Metazoa; Chordata; Mammalia; Afrosoricida; Tenrecidae. The record is from RNAcentral.